This 231-nucleotide ribosomal RNA is filed under the name uncultured bacterium. RNAcentral describes it as "partial 16S ribosomal RNA". It matches the Rfam family "Bacterial small subunit ribosomal RNA", at positions 99 to 334 of the family's 1533-position model. The record is from RNAcentral.
CGGACGGGUGAGUAUGUCUGGGAAACUGCCUGAUGGAGGGGGAUAACUACUGGAAACGGUAGCUAAUACCGCAUAACGUCGCAAGACCAAAGAGGGGGACCUUCGGGCCUCUUGCCAUCGGAUGUGCCCAGAUGGGAUUAGCUAGUAGGUGGGGUAACGGCUCACCUAGGCGACGAUCCCUAGCUGGUCUGAGAGGAUGACCAGCCACACUGGAACUGAGACACGGUCCAG